RNAcentral lists this ribosomal RNA (216 nucleotides) under Glomeromycotina sp. RNAcentral describes it as "partial small subunit ribosomal RNA". The stretch from base 40 to 216 matches the Rfam family "Eukaryotic small subunit ribosomal RNA", at positions 686 to 864 of the family's 1831-position model. The record is from RNAcentral. Lineage: Eukaryota; Fungi; Glomeromycota.
GGGUCAGUAGGUUGGUCGUGCCACCGGUACGUACUGGUCUCACUGAUUCCUCCUUCCUGAGGAACCGUAAUGCCAUUAAUUUGGUGUUGCGGGGAAACAGGACUGUUACUUUGAAAAAAUUAGAGUGUUUAAAGCAAGCUAACGCUUGAAUACAUUAGCAUGGAAUAAUGGAAUAGGACGAUCGAUCCUAUUUUGUUGGUUUCUAGGAUUGACGUA